Molecule: unclassified non-coding RNA, 219 nt
Filed under: soil metagenome
Description: partial contains 5.8S ribosomal RNA, internal transcribed spacer 2, and large subunit ribosomal RNA
Source: RNAcentral
AACGAGGCCGACCUGCGGCUGAGUUACCUGCGGAGGGAUCAUUACAAGUGACCCCGGUCUAACCACCGGGAUGUUCAUAACCCUUUGUUGUCCGACUCUGUUGCCUCCGGGGCGACCCUGCCUUCGGGCGGGGGCUCCGGGUGGACACUUCAAACUCUUGCGUAACUUUGCAGUCUGAGUAAACUUAAUUAAUAAAUUAAAACUUUUAACAAUGGAUCU